AUGGCUCAGGAUGAACGCUAGCGGCAGGCUAACACAUGCAAGUCGAGGGGCAGCGGGAUGUAGCAAUACAUUGCCGGCGACCGGCGGAUGGGUGCGUAACGCGUAUGCAACCUACCUUAUACAGGGGAAUAACCUUUCGAAAGGGAGACUAACACCCCAUGGUAUUGAUUUAAGGCAUCUUAGAUUAAUUAAAUAUUUAUAGGUAUAAGAUGGGCAUGCGUAUGAUUAGCUAGUUGGUAAGGUAACGGCUUACCAAGGCGACGAUCAUUAGGGGUUCUGAGAGGAAGGUCCCCCACACUGGUACUGAGACACGGACCAGACUCCUACGGGAGGCAGCAGUGAGGAAUAUUGGUCAAUGGGCGCAAGCCUGAACCAGCCAUGCCGCGUGCAAGGAAGACGGCCUUAUGGGUUGUAAACUGCUUUUACAUAAGACUAACCGUAUAUUUGCGAAUAUACCUGAAUGUAUUAUGAGAAUAAGGAUCGGCUAACUCCGUGCCAGCAGCAGC
RNAcentral lists this ribosomal RNA (506 nucleotides) under uncultured bacterium. Its description in RNAcentral is "bacterial SSU rRNA". It matches the Rfam family "Bacterial small subunit ribosomal RNA", at positions 19 to 518 of the family's 1533-position model. The record is from RNAcentral.